AGGAAACCCAGAUCCCUAAUUCGGCUUCAAUUUCAAUAACUUUAUUGAUGGCCUUUCCUGCCCAAUGGCCAAUGGCCAACACUCCCUAGUCCCGGGAAGAGGGAGCGCAUCGCUGGAUGUGAUUGGGCUCUCUGCACCAAGUGGCCCCCAAAUCGAGCUGCAGCCAUGGUAAACACCACCAGCGACCGGGUGUCUGUGGAGUGUCACCGCACCACAGCUGCACGUGCAGAGGGAGACGCGCCAUGACCCGGGCAAGGAGCACAAGAUCCUGGUGGGGAGCAUCAGCGACCUAGGCCUCUUCAGCCUGCUGGACUGCAAGUUCCCUGGGGACAAAGAGUUUGUAUCAUGGCAGCAGGAUUUGGAUGACUGCAUAAAGCCCACCCAGCAGGCCCAGCCUACUGCUAUCCACUGCUCUGAAGGAGGCAAGGAGGUCUUCAUUU
Long non-coding RNA from Sciurus carolinensis (gray squirrel), 440 nucleotides. RefSeq lists it as uncharacterized. NCBI's taxonomy places the organism in Eukaryota, Metazoa, Chordata, Mammalia, Rodentia, Sciuridae. The record is from RefSeq and is a predicted model, not a curated record. The transcript has 3 exons.